This 380-nucleotide ribosomal RNA is filed under the name uncultured eukaryote. RNAcentral's name for it is "partial 18S ribosomal RNA". It matches the Rfam family "Eukaryotic small subunit ribosomal RNA", at positions 592 to 976 of the family's 1831-position model. The record is from RNAcentral.
CAAUAGCGUAUAUUAAAGUUGUUGCAGUUAAAAAGCUCGUAGUUGGAUUUGUGGCGUACGGUGGGUUCCGGGCACUUGUUGUCUGAGUAACUUGCUGUUGCCAUCCUUGGGUGGAACCUGUGUGGCAUUAGGUUGUCGUGCAGGGGAUGCCCAUCAUUUACUGUGAAAAAAUUAGAGUGUUCAAAGCAGGCUUAUGCCGUUGAAUAUAUUAGCAUGGAAUAAUGAGAUAGGACUUUUUUGCUAUUUUGUUGGUUUGCGCAAAGAGGUAAUGAUUAAUAGGGACAGUUGGGGGUAUUCGCAUUCCAUUGUCAGAGGUGAAAUUCUUGGAUUUUUGGAAGACGAACUACUGCGAAAGCAUUUACCAAGGAUGUUUUCAUUAA